RNAcentral lists this ribosomal RNA (1363 nucleotides) under Listeria monocytogenes. RNAcentral describes it as "partial 23S ribosomal RNA". It matches the Rfam family "Bacterial large subunit ribosomal RNA", at positions 408 to 1769 of the family's 2925-position model. The record is from RNAcentral. Lineage: Bacteria; Bacillati; Bacillota; Bacilli; Caryophanales; Listeriaceae.
CUGAGUACGGCGGAACACGUGAAAUUCCGUCGGAAUCCGGGAGGACCAUCUCCCAAGGCUAAAUACUCCCUAGUGACCGAUAGUGAACCAGUACCGUGAGGGAAAGGUGAAAAGCACCCCGGAAGGGGAGUGAAACAGUUCCUGAAACCGUGUGCCUACAAGUAGUUAGAGCCCGUUAAUGGGUGAUAGCGUGCCUUUUGUAGAAUGAACCGGCGAGUUACGAUUUGUUGCAAGGUUAAGCGGAAAAAGCGGAGCCGUAGCGAAAGCGAGUCUGAAUAGGGCGCAUAAGUAACAGGUCGUAGACCCGAAACCAGGUGAUCUACCCAUGUCCAGGAUGAAGGUAAGGUAAUACUUACUGGAGGUCCGAACCCACGCACGUUGAAAAGUGCGGGGAUGAGGUGUGGGUAGCGGAGAAAUUCCAAUCGAACUUGGAGAUAGCUGGUUCUCUCCGAAAUAGCUUUAGGGCUAGCCUCGAGGUAAAGAGUCAUGGAGGUAGAGCACUGUUUGGACUAGGGGCCCUUCUCGGGUUACCGAAUUCAGAUAAACUCCGAAUGCCAUGUACUUAUACUCGGGAGUCAGACUGCGAGUGAUAAGAUCCGUAGUCGAAAGGGAAACAGCCCAGACCACCAGUUAAGGUCCCCAAAUAUAUGUUAAGUGGAAAAGGAUGUGGGGUUGCUUAGACAACCAGGAUGUUGGCUUAGAAGCAGCCACCAUUGAAAGAGUGCGUAAUAGCUCACUGGUCGAGUGACCCCGCGCCGAAAAUGUACCGGGGCUAAACAUAUUACCGAAACUGUGGAUGAACCUCUUUAGAGGUUCGUGGUAGGAGAGCGUUCUAAGGGCGGUGAAGUCAGACCGGAAGGACUGGUGGAGCGCUUAGAAGUGAGAAUGCCGGUAUGAGUAGCGAAAGAAGGGUGAGAAUCCCUUCCACCGAAUAUCUAAGGUUUCCUGAGGAAGGCUCGUCCGCUCAGGGUUAGUCGGGACCUAAGCCGAGGCCGAUAGGCGUAGGCGAUGGACAACAGGUAGAGAUUCCUGUACCAGUGCUAAUUGUUUAACCGAUGGGGUGACACAGAAGGAUAGGGAAUCGCACGAAUGGAAAUGUGCGUCCAAGCAGUGAGUGUGAGAAGUAGGCAAAUCCGCUUCUCGCGAAGCAUGAGCUGUGAUGGGGAAGGAAAUUAAGUACGGAAGUUCCUGAUUUCACGCUGUCAAGAAAAGCCUCUAGGAAGAGUAGUACUGCCCGUACCGCAAACCGACACAGGUAGAUGAGGAGAGAAUCCUAAGGUGAGCGAGAGAACUCUCGUUAAGGAACUCGGCAAAAUGACCCCGUAACUUCGGGAGAAGGGGUGCUCUAUUAGGGUGCAAGCCC